This 969-nucleotide long non-coding RNA is filed under the name Panax ginseng (ginseng). Its description in RNAcentral is "long non-coding RNA (PGIN_LNC016194)". The record is from RNAcentral. Lineage: Eukaryota; Viridiplantae; Streptophyta; Magnoliopsida; Apiales; Araliaceae.
AAAGUUAUUUAAACUUAAAGUGACUUUUUCUUUACUCCAUAAAGAAUUAAUAUUUCUUUAUAAAUUUGCAUUAAAAUUAUAUAUCUGCUUAAAUAGAAGCAUUUUUAAGUAAAAGCUAAAAUUGAUAUAUUUGCUUAUUCAAGAAGCACUUUUCAUACAAAACAUAAAAGUUAUUUACUUUUAUAACAGAACAUAAUUUUCAUAUUUGCUUACACAGAAGUAUUAUUUGACAAAUUAUUAUCUGCUUAUUUAAGAAGCAUCAAUCUGUACUAAAUUAUAUCUGCUUAUUUAAGAAGCAUCCAUAUGUACUAAAUUCUUAUCUGCUUAUUUGAGAAGCAAAUUGUUGUAAAAUCAUUUGUAAAAAGAGAAAAGGUCAGAGUUAGUUUAUUUUAUGUACCUGUGAGAAAGAUGAGUAAUUUUUUGACCAAGACCAGAGUCUUAGAGAGGUCAGCGGGAAGUUGGGUCUCUAGUGUACUUGUGAGGUGAGGAAGAGGCUGUUAUUUCAAGACCAGAUCAUAGAAUAGAACUGAACUCAAAAGAAGGUACAACUAAACUUGAGGAGGGAGCGGGGAGCUUGCGGUCCAAGAUAGAAUAGUUGGGAACAGUUGAAAGUUUGUCUAUAAAACUUUGUAAAGGCUUCUCCGCCUAUUGAAGGAGUAUUUAUUACUGAUAGUAAUAGGAUCUCAAGUCCUGGAGAGGAGCUUGAGACUGGACGUAGCAGCAUACUCGGGAUAUAUGUUGUGAACCAGACAAAUCUCUGUGCAUUGUGUGAUUAAUUUUUUACUGUCUUGCAUAUUAAUUUCUAACACUGUAAAUUAAUUAUACAAAAAAUCAAAAAGGCCUAAGAUAAUUUUUAAUCUGUAAUAAUCUAUUCAACCCCCCUUUUAGAUUAUUAUUGGACUUUUAGUUGGAGAAUUGUAUUUAGUACUUCAUUGAUGAAAAUCAUUAUUACAUAUUUGAAGUCAUUAG